AAAAAACUGUCCCAUAAUUUCCUUUUCCUUUCUCUCUUUCCUUCCUUUCACUCUUCCUCGUCUCUCUCCAGCCGGGAAAUACUAUUUUCCGGCCAACCAAACGCACCAAAAAAAACCCAUUUUAAAUACAAUAAAUAAAUUAAAUUCUUUAUAUUUAUAAUAUUAUUUUGCAUUGUUUCAAGUAAGUUAUAUAUAUUUUUUAGGAUUAACAGAGAAAUUGUAGAACUUACUUGCUGUGUUAUCAAGUUUCUGAAACCCUAGGAGAGACCAAAACCCUAAACGAUGAACCACUACGACCACAGACUCGCGGAUCCGAGCUCCUACAGAGACCGGCGAAGUGACCUUAUCGGCCCGACUCAGGCGGCAACGGGACCUGGUAUGGGAGGCCCGGGACCGAGUUAUGGCCGCCUCGGAGGUCCAGUUUCGUACGGAGGCUCGGCUGGAAGAGGGGUUUCUGGAUCAGUGCCCAAUGCUGGAAAUAUCAAUGGGUAUCCGCCGUUUCAGCCCCCUGCUAGUCGGUUUGAUAUGGGUCGAGGUGGAGGCCGCGGUGGAGGAGGACGGGGAAGGGGUUUUGACUCGGGCAGUCGAGGUGGCGAUAGAUUUGGAGGAAGUAGGAGUUUUGAUGACGCCGGGACAGGGGGUAAGAGUUAUGGUGGUGGUCGUGGUGAGAGUUUUGGGUCUUCUGGUGGGCGUGGUGGUGGGAGAGGUUUCGAUGGCCGUGGUGGUGGAAGAGGAGGCAGAUUUAGUGCUCCCUCGAGAGGGGAAUUGGAUAACGUGGCCCUUCCUAGACAGGAUUUUGGAAAUUUAGUUCCUUUUGAGAAGAAUUUCUACAUUGAGAGUCCUUCAGUCAGGGCAAUGUCAGAGCAUGAAGUAAUGCUCUACCGUUCAAGGCGGGAAAUCACUGUUGAAGGGCACGAUGUCCCGAAGCCAAUUCGGAUGUUUGAGGAAGCUAAUAUUCCUGAUUAUUGUCUUGAGGUAAUUGCAAAGUUGGGCUUUGCGGAACCAACAGCAAUUCAGGCCCAAGGAUGGCCAAUGGCUCUCAAGGGUAGGGAUUUAAUUGGCAUUGCUGAGACUGGUUCCGGUAAAACUUUGGCGUAUCUGCUACCAGCUUUGGUUCAUGUCAGCGCUCAACCUCGAUUAGCUUACGGUGAAGGUCCUAUUGUAUUAGUAAUAGCACCUACUAGGGAAUUGGCCGUUCAAAUUCAAGAAGAAGUUGUGAAGUUUGGUUUGCGUGCCAGUGUUAGGAGUACUUGCAUAUAUGGUGGUGCUCCAAAAGGACCUCAAAUUCGAGAUCUUAAAAGAGGGGUUGAGAUUGUCAUUGCUACACCCGGUCGACUGAUUGAUAUGUUGGAAGCUCAGCACACAAAUUUGCGAAGAGUGACUUACCUUGUAUUGGAUGAGGCUGAUCGGAUGUUGGACAUGGGAUUUGAGCCUCAGAUACGGAAAAUUGUGGCGCAGAUCCGGCCAGAUAGACAGACAUUGUACUGGAGUGCCACAUGGCCAAGGGAGGUUGAAGUCCUAGCAAGGCAGUUUCUGCGCAAUCCCUAUAAGGUAGUCAUUGGAUCAACAAACUUGAAAGCAAAUCAAUCUAUUAACCAAAUUGUUGAAGUUAUGACUGAUAUGGAGAAAUACAAUAGGCUGAUAAAACUUCUUAAAGAAGUGAUGGAUGGGAGUAAGAUUUUGAUAUUUAUUGAGACAAAGAAAGGAUGUGACCAAGUAACAAGGCAAUUGAGAAUGGAUGGGUGGCCUGCUCUAUCCAUCCACGGUGACAAAAACCAGACCGAAAGGGACUGGGUCCUUGCUGAAUUUAAGAAUGGCAGAAGCCCUAUAAUGACUGCCACUGAUGUGGCUGCACGGGGUCUUGGUAGGAUCAAUGUGUUUUAGGAGUCUUUUGUUUCAUUUAAGUCUUGAUUUUUCCAAGAUAAGCGAGUCGCCGGCUGCUGUCCAGUUUCCUGAGAAUAUAAAUUGUGGUUGGGUGCAAAGGCAGGGUAUUUAUAUACGGCAACUAUGACUGCUUGUAGUUUACUUCGUCUGUUGGCACCUUGCUUUUAACCUGAGCAAGCAAUCUAUGAGUUUCAUUGGAGGCAGUAAGACUUUCUCCUGUUCUUUAGGAACUUUAUCGUAGUCCAGUGCUAGCAUAUCUAAUCUUUCUUAUGGUUCAUUGACGUUGCCCUUGAUGGAAAAGUUUGAUUUAUCUGCAUUGGGCAUUAGUAUAAAUGUUGAGGCCAUAUAUUACCAUAGUCAUAGUUGCCACAAGGAAAGUCAUUUGUUGUAAGAUGGUUUAUGUGGCUACCUUUGUGAGUUUGAACUAGUUCUAUACCUGGAGGUGCUGAAUGGUAUUGAUACCAAUUAUCUGGUGUUUAGAUAAAAUGAACUUUGCGGUGCCCAUCCACUGUUUGGAGCUGGUUAUUUCUGCAGCCCGGUUGACUCACACAUGCUUAUUGAUUUUUUGGAUAUGGAAGUGGUGGUGGUGAAGCUGCUCCUUAUCCCUGCAACGUUAAGGUGGGCACAUUUGUACGAUGAAUGUGUUAUCUUAAAUUUGAUCUACUGAUCUUAGGGUGCAGGGAUAAGAUGUGAAGGACAUAAAACUUGUGAUCAAUUAUGAUUUCCCGUCAAGCCUCGAGGACUAUGUCCACAGGAUCGGCCGAACUGGUCGCGCAGGAGCUAAGGGAACUGCCUUCACGUUUUUUACGCAGGCUAAUGUGAAAUAUGCUCGGGAAUUGAUUAAGAUCCUGCAGGAAGCAGGUCAGAUAGUGAGUCCCGCACUGU
Molecule: RNA transcript, 2769 nt
Organism: Humulus lupulus (European hop)
Lineage: Eukaryota; Viridiplantae; Streptophyta; Magnoliopsida; Rosales; Cannabaceae
Gene name: DEAD-box ATP-dependent RNA helicase 30-like
Exons: 9
Source: RefSeq, a predicted model, not a curated record